RNAcentral lists this ribosomal RNA (253 nucleotides) under uncultured bacterium. Its description in RNAcentral is "partial 16S ribosomal RNA". It matches the Rfam family "Bacterial small subunit ribosomal RNA", at positions 524 to 776 of the family's 1533-position model. The record is from RNAcentral.
UACGUAGGGUGCGAGCGUUAUUCGGAAUUACUGGGCGUAAAGCGUGCGCAGGCGGUUUUGUAAGACAGAUGUGAAAGCCCCGGGCUCAACCUGGGAACUGCAUUUGGGACUGCAAGGCUGGAGUACGGCAGAGGGAGGUGGAAUUCCACGUGUAGCAGUGAAAUGCGUAGAGAUGUGGAGGAACACCGAUGGCGAAGGCAGCCUCCUGGGCUAGUACUGACGCUCAUGCACGAAAGCGUGGGGAGCAAACAGG